GGGCCCAGCCCGCGCCGCGGAAGGACCAUGCAGGCCGCCGCCCGCCAGGACGAUCAGAGACCUCGAUUUCCCCAUCUGGAAAAAAAGGAUGAAAUCCUUGCUGUCUUGUGGCCUGCGAGUCCCGUGAUGUAUCCGAUCUGAUUAUCAGGGAGAAUAUGUCUGAUUAUAUUAAUGUCCGUCUCCCCCUUCUAAACGCGUUUGGCACGUAGGAAACGCGUAGUGGAUAUCGAAUUAUCCUUUUCCCUACGGUGGCAAUUGGCGCCUGGGGGAAAUGGGGUGAGCCGAGCCGGAUCGUGACUUCUGGGGGUCGCGGACCCGACCCUCCAGCUCCCGGACUGAAAAAGGUGGACCAUCUCCUCCUGGACCAGGACAAGAGACAGCAGACAAGAAUGUCAUCCUUACAUUCCUGAGAGCGUUGAGGUGCUGGCUACAGUAUCUGGAAGUGCCCUCCUCUAGUUGGGUGCUGCGUGCAUGAAGCUGAGGGCUAAUGGAUCCAGUUCCGAGAUUCCUCCGACAACUCCGGGCGACCGGCAUUUAGACGCCAGGGAAGAGGGUUUGACAGAUUCAUCAAGAGUGAACUGAAGGUUUCAACUGGUGCCAGAAUUUCCAGAGACCUUAUUUGAAUACCACCGCUGUCUGACUCCACCCACCCCCCAAUAAAAAACUACUGCAUCAAAACAA
Long non-coding RNA from Ornithorhynchus anatinus (platypus), 681 nucleotides. RefSeq lists it as uncharacterized. NCBI's taxonomy places the organism in Eukaryota, Metazoa, Chordata, Mammalia, Monotremata, Ornithorhynchidae. The record is from RefSeq and is a predicted model, not a curated record. The transcript has 6 exons.